RNAcentral lists this transfer RNA (71 nucleotides) under Haemonchus placei. It matches the Rfam family "tRNA". From Rfam's summary of the family: Transfer RNA (tRNA) molecules are approximately 80 nucleotides in length. Their secondary structure includes four short double-helical elements and three loops (D, anti-codon, and T loops). Lineage: Eukaryota; Metazoa; Nematoda; Chromadorea; Rhabditida; Trichostrongylidae. The record is from Rfam by way of RNAcentral.
GUCUCGGUAGUGUAAUGGAUAAGCACGGUGCCCGAGAAGCAUAAGUACUGGUUCGAGUCCGGUCCGGGACU